RNAcentral lists this long non-coding RNA (1419 nucleotides) under Monodelphis domestica (gray short-tailed opossum). Its description in RNAcentral is "lncRNA (ENSMODG00000036666.1)". Lineage: Eukaryota; Metazoa; Chordata; Mammalia; Didelphimorphia; Didelphidae. The record is from RNAcentral.
CAAGGCACCCUUAGAGAGCAAUCUCCAGCUUACUUACCUGUUUUCCUUUCUUGCUCUAGGACAAGACAAUGGGGAUGCAAAAAUGAAGCCUCUGUUCUCCCAGCUCCCAGAAAAUCCUAUUUUGCUGAAUUAAAAUGCACUCUGGGACAGAUAAUUGAGGACUAGAGAAGGAAGGAAGUGACUUGACCAAUUCACAUCAACAAAAGAACAUAAGUCUAGAUGUAGAAGAGAACUCCAAACCCAUAUAAUUCACCCCUUUCCUAUGUUACAGAGGAGACAACCAAGGUGAAAGGGUUUGGGGUCAAAGAUGCUGAGCAAGCCCUUUUGCUGUCCAAAGAUCAAGGGAAAGAACUCCAGGGGUGGCAAGAAGGCCUGUGACCUUGCCCAGCAAUACUGACCACUCCCAUCAAUCCCAGCAUGAAGCUGCUACAGCUGCUACAUCAAGUAUGAAGGGAAUAGACUAUGAGCGAUGAAGGCAAGACUUUCCGGUCCUUUGCUCUCUCUACCCCGAUGGGAACAGCAGGAAUUGGAGAAGCACAGACCCAAGGCACAUUAAUGGCAAAUGACUUUUACACUGAAAAUGACAGAAUAAAAAUGGCAAACAGGGAAUUGAUGCCCAAGAGAAGUAAGAGGACAAUAAGUGAUCACUUUGUUGCCCUGAACUACAUCCUCAAGUACUGAAAUAAUUUAUAUCCAUGAUAGCUAAGGUACUCUUGGUAAUAUUUGAAAGACAUGGACAAUGGAAGAACUACUUUAGCAUUUGAUAAGGACAGAGAUUGUCCUGAUUUUCAAAAUGGGCUGAUGAGACAGAGUAUAGUUUUCUAACUAUAAGCCAGUCAGUUUGAAAACUAUAGUUGGGAAACAUCUCAAAAGGAAAGCAGCAUAUAAUGAAUUAGCAUGGCUUCAUAAAGAACAGAUCGUACCAGACUAACUAUUUAUUUUUUGACAUGACUACUAAGUUAGUAGAUCAAUGAAAUGCUAUAAAUACAGUUUACCAUAGAUUUUAACAAGAUGUUUGAUUAAAAUGUCUCAUACUCUUCUUUUGGAAAAGGUGGAGAAAUGUAGAGUAAAUAGUAAUGCAAUUAGAGGGAUUAGUACCUGACUAACAUAUACUAUUAUAGUAACCUAACUUUAGAACCAGAAGGGAUGUUAGAAAACUGUUCAAUAUCUUUAUUUUAUAGAUCAGGAAACUCAGAACAAGAGAAGUUAAGUGACUUGCUCCAAGUCACACAAGGGAUAAGUGAGGGAUUGAAAUUCAGAACUUCUGCUAAAUGAUGUACAAAUAAGUGGGCUUAGAACUGUUUGAAUGACCAGACUGAAAGAAUGGCCAUUAUUCAUGCCAACUUGGAAUGAUGAUUUCAGUGAAGUUCUCCAGGCAUCUGCACUAUACCCUAUGAUGUUCAAUGUUUUUAUCAGACU